This 560-nucleotide ribosomal RNA is filed under the name Atlantibacter subterraneus. RNAcentral describes it as "Atlantibacter subterranea partial 23S ribosomal RNA". It matches the Rfam family "Bacterial large subunit ribosomal RNA", at positions 657 to 1215 of the family's 2925-position model. Lineage: Bacteria; Pseudomonadati; Pseudomonadota; Gammaproteobacteria; Enterobacterales; Enterobacteriaceae. The record is from RNAcentral.
AUAGGGGAGCCGCAGGGAAACCGAGUCUUAACUGGGCGUUAAGUUGCAGGGUAUAGACCCGAAACCCGGUGAUCUAGCCAUGGGCAGGUUGAAGGUUGGGUAACACUAACUGGAGGACCGAACCGACUAAUGUUGAAAAAUUAGCGGAUGACCUGUGGCUGGGGGUGAAAGGCCAAUCAAACCGGGAGAUAGCUGGUUCUCCCCGAAAGCUAUUUAGGUAGCGCCUCGUGAAUUCAUCUGUGGGGGUAGAGCACUGUUUCGGCUAGGGGGCCAUCCCGGCUUACCAACCCGAUGCAAACUACGAAUACCACAGAAUGUUAUCACGGGAGACACACGGCGGGUGCUAACGUCCGUCGUGAAGAGGGAAACAACCCAGACCGCCAGCUAAGGUCCCAAAGUCAUGGUUAAGUGGGAAACGAUGUGGGAAGGCCCAGACAGCCAGGAUGUUGGCUUAGAAGCAGCCAUCAUUUAAAGAAAGCGUAAUAGCUCACUGGUCGAGUCGGCCUGCGCGGAAGAUGUAACGGGGCUAAACCAUGCACCGAAGCUGCGGCAGCGACACU